This 330-nucleotide unclassified non-coding RNA is filed under the name Lingula anatina. Its description in RNAcentral is "uncharacterized LOC106172600, transcript variant X1". Lineage: Eukaryota; Metazoa; Brachiopoda; Lingulata; Lingulida; Lingulidae. The record is from RNAcentral.
CCAUACUCCCUCAGGCUGCCUCAAAAAUGCAGACACCCUACGCCAAAUUACAUUAUCCACAUUUUGGAUCAGUGUUCAAAUACACGCACACUAAAGUAGCCUGCGAGAAGUUCACAGCUACCAGCUUAACGGACAUCGUACCUAUAAAAAUUUUAGGGAGAAGGUCCAGGAAGCAGACUGCAAACUGAUGGGCGCCACCUGUGGGACUUCGACUUCACUCCUUAAGGACAUAGAAGAUGAUGGGCGCCACCUGUGGGACUUCGACUACACUCCUUAAGGUAUGUAAUCUUUUUUUCUUUUUUGAAGGGGAGUUUGAGAAAUGAAAGAAAU